Molecule: transfer-messenger RNA, 327 nt
Filed under: bovine gut metagenome
Description: Alphaproteobacteria transfer-messenger RNA
Rfam family: Alphaproteobacteria transfer-messenger RNA
About the family: Bacterial tmRNA, also known as 10Sa RNA or SsrA, is named for its dual tRNA and mRNA-like properties. Its role is to liberate the mRNA from a stalled ribosome. To accomplish this part of the tmRNA is used as a reading frame that ends in a translation stop signal.
Source: RNAcentral
CUUGAAAAUUUGUUUUAAAAUCUUUAUAUUCAGAUUGUCGGCAAAAGCCGACUGUGACACCAGAGGCCUUAUGAAAUAGGUGUGUCGGACCCGAGGGCAGUACUCGGCACCUCCACCAUUUUACGGGGGUGAAACAGGUUUGACGGUACUCGGUAAAGAUAUGUGCUGUGUCCGGUGAGAUACCACCGUUAUCGGUUCAAAAUAAAUGAAUGCAAAUGAUAAUUUUGCACCUGUUGCUGUAGCUGCUUAGUGAAAGCGACAAACUUAAAUCCUUUAAGCUAUGGUUAGCUUGAAGUGGGGGAGAAGCCACCCAGCAACAGAACGGCU